RNAcentral lists this ribosomal RNA (116 nucleotides) under Pteropus alecto (black flying fox). RNAcentral also lists the same sequence under 1 other name. The record is from RNAcentral. Lineage: Eukaryota; Metazoa; Chordata; Mammalia; Chiroptera; Pteropodidae.
GUCUAUGGCCAUGCCACCCUGAACAAGCCCAAUGUUUGAUCUCGGAAGCUAAGCAGGGUCGGGCCUGGUUAGUACUUGGAUGGGAGACCACCUAGGAAGACCAGGUGCUGUAGGCA